AGUGAACGCUGGCGGUAGGCCUAACACAUGCAAGUCGAACGGCAGCACAGUAAGAGCUUGCUCUUACGGGUGGCGAGUGGCGGACGGGUGAGGAAUACAUCGGAAUCUACUUUUUCUUGGGGGAUAACGUAGGGAAACUUACGCUAAUACCGCAUACGACCUACGGGUGAAAGCAUGGGAUCUUCGGACCUUGCGCGUUUGAUUGAGCCGAUGUCGGAUUAGCUAGUUGGCGGGGUAAAGGCCCACCAAGGCGACGAUCCGUAGCUGGUCUGAGAGGAUGAUCAGCCAAACUGGAACUGAGACACGGUACAGAAUCCGACGGGAGGCAGCAGUGGGGAAUAUUGGACAAUGGGGGCAAGCCUGAUCCAGCAAUACCGCGUGGGUGAAGAAGGCCUUCGGGUUGUAAAGCCCUUUUGUUGGGAAAGAAAAGCAGCAGGUUAAUACCCCGCUGUUCUGACGGUACCCAAAGAAUAAGCACCGGCUAACUUCGUG
Molecule: ribosomal RNA, 492 nt
Filed under: uncultured bacterium
Lineage: Bacteria
Description: partial 16S ribosomal RNA
Rfam family: Bacterial small subunit ribosomal RNA
Source: RNAcentral